Long non-coding RNA from Oncorhynchus mykiss (rainbow trout), 2240 nucleotides. RefSeq lists it as uncharacterized. NCBI's taxonomy places the organism in Eukaryota, Metazoa, Chordata, Actinopteri, Salmoniformes, Salmonidae. The record is from RefSeq and is a predicted model, not a curated record.
UCUCUCUCUCUUUCUCUCUCUCUCUCACUCAGUCUCUCUCCCCUUUCUCUCCCAUUAUCUCUCUAUUUCUACUCUCGCCUUCUGUCUCUUUCCCUCGCUCUUUUUCCCUCUCUCCUUCUCUCUCUCUGUCUAUCUCUCCCUCUUUCUCAGAAUGGACACAGGAUGUGAAGAGAGCAGGUGGCUGACAACAGAAAUGGGAGGCUGUGGAGGAUAUGACAAAGAGCCAUCAAGUCAGCAGACUGACUGGACAGCUCUACUGUACGCCACAGGGGGCAGACCCUCGGUUGGCAGAGCGGUUGCUGAGCUUUGAGAACAACAGUCAGGUGGGUAGAUGAGUAACAUUGUGUUCUUGUUUGCUGGAUGAGUUCCAGAAUAGAAGACUAGUUGACUGGUUAGAUAACAAAUAGUUAUUACGUAUUUCUUACAGGUGUUGAUAGAUAAUGAUUGUUGUCAUGAAUUGUGCAUACAAAAUUGUAUCAUUGUCCUAUACUGUCUAAUAUGCGUUAUGUUUUCUUUAUGUUGAUGUGAAGAGAAUAGUAUCUAAAGAUUUGGUAUUGUUUGUAUGAGGUUACUGCAGUUCUUCACAGCGCUUAAGAGGGGUAGUGUCUGACGUGUGGAGGAGGAUGUCACCCAUCAGCUGUCCUCAUAGCUGGGCUACCAUGGCAACGACAUUCAUCAGAAUGACUUCCGGCAAAAGCAAAGCACUGUCACGAUCACUUUCUGUACUGACAGAUGUCUUUAUACUGAUACUUAUUGUGUUGGUGUUUUGGUUAAGGUUAAUCAUAAAAAUGCUGAGCCACAUGAGUGGACUGUCUUUGUAAAUCUACUUGUCAUCCAUGUCACAACUGCUACACAGACUUUCUACUUGUCAUUACGGCCAAAGAGAAAUAAGCAAAGUGUCCUCCAAAACCAUUUGCUACUGCUGCGCGUCCACUGCAUCCCUAUUGUCCGGCAGGGAAAGUCUUCCCCCAGAGGCUGGUUUCACAUGGUGGUUUAGAUUAAUGUUCUCAGUGUCUAGCACCAUUUGAAAUCAGUGUUCUUGGGGACAGGAGAACAGCACUGGGCCUCUGGUAGUGUCAAUCAGUCUACUGGAGCCAUCCUCUCUCUCUCUCUCUCCCCUUUAAAGGAUGACUGAUUUCCUCUGGUGUUUAGAGCCCCUUAAAGCCUUCUAGCACCAUUUGAAAUCGGUUAUAAUGACUGGGGAUCAAUGCCUCAAUGUCUUCACGAUGUCUACAUGUCAACUCUACAGUCAAGCAGACAGGAAAUGAAUUGGAUGAAUGUUCAUAUUGUACGUGUCACAGGGUCUGCUCUACAGAUCCUGGAAUCGAAAUGAGUUGGACGGGAGCUCAUUUCCAGUGGGACAGUUUUUAAAGUGUUUAUUGAAUAAAUGUUCAAUUAAACUGAAUUGAUAUCUUACGUUUUCCUGUGUGUAUGUUAUUAUAUUUGUGUCCGUGGUUAUACACCUGCAUGUAACCCUAUAUAACCCCGCUCUGCUAUGUAUAAAAGUUAUCAGAGCUCAAGGGAUCAAAACAAGUCAUUUCACAAUACCCUCACUCAUAACAGAUUGAAUCACUGUUAUACCUAGAAGAACACAACACAAUCCAACACGUACUUUAUAACAUGAUCAUGGAAACAGGAAAGGCAUUUUAUUGCAGGACUUGUACCAGACACCGCACAGAACCACAGAAGUCAACUGAGGACAGAAUCGUAAUUAAACCGGGAAAGUUCCUGUUCUAUAAUGUGGAUGAAUGAGCUCCAAGGAAGCCUGAUGUUCUCAAUAAGAUUUUAAAGUUGUGGAAGUUUCUCUUAUCUCUGCUCGGCGUCUCUGUCGCCUGUGUUACCAUGUCACGAGACAACUGGUAUCUAUUCAUAUAGUGUGUUGUUAGGUGUAGAUAAAGGUGUUGUGGAUGGGGCGAUGGCAUUGAUGGUGGUUAGCAUUGUAGUACAAACAUGAUCAUGGAGUUGAACUUGGAGACCAUCCCAGAGAAUGUAGUUGAACUGGGAGAGGAAGAGGAGGAGGCGAAGGAAGAAAAAUAAGUGCCUCUCCACAUUCAAAUGCUACAGAGGAACAGAUUUGACCAGAGGUCAUUCUGUGGACAUGAUUAUUAGCUGAGAUACUAUGUCAUUUCAACUCGUAUCAUUAUUUUAAAACCUGCCAUUAUUCCGUAAUAAGCUAUUUCCCUCAAAUCAAUGGGGUUUUAAUGGGGCCUAGUUGUCCUUGCACCUUUCCCGUUGCCCUA